UAGCUAGUUGGUGAGGUAAAGGCUUACCAAGGCGACGAUCUGUAGCGGGUCUGAGAGGAUGAUCCGCCACACUGGAACUGAGACACGGUCCAGACUCCUACGGGAGGCAGCAGUGGGGAAUUUUGGACAAUGGGGGCAACCCUGAUCCAGCCAUGCCGCGUGAGUGAAGAAGGCCUUCGGGUUGUAAAGCUCUUUCGGCCGGGAAGAAAUCGCAUGGGCCAAUACCCUGUGUGGAUGACGGUACCGGAAUAAGAAGCACCGGCUAACUACGUGCCAGCAGCCGCGGUAAUACGUAGGGUGCGAGCGUUAAUCGGAAUUACUGGGCGUAAAGCGUGCGCAGGCGGUUUUGUAAGACAGGCGUGAAAUCCCCGGGCUUAACCUGGGAACUGCGUUUGUGACUGCAAGGCUAGAGUACGGCAGAGGGGGGUGGAAUUCCACGUGUAGCAGUGAAAUGCGUAGAGAUGUGGAGGAACACCAAUGGCGAAGGCAGCCCCCUGGGUCGAUACUGACGCUCAUGCACGAAAGCGUGGGUAGCAAACAGGAUUAGAUACCCUGGUAGUCCACGCCCUAAACUAUGUCAACUAGGUGUUGGGUGGGUAAAACCAUUUAGUACCGUAGCUAACGCGUGAAGUUGACCGCCUGGGGAGUACGGCCGCAAGGUUAAAACUCAAAGGAAUUGACGGGGACCCGCACAAGCGGUGGAUGAUGUGGAUUAAUUCGAUGCAACGCGAAAAACCUUACCUACCCUUGACAUGCCAGGAACUUGCCAGAGAUGGCUUGGUGCCCGAAAGGGAGCCUGGACACAGGUGCUGCAUGGCUGUCGUCAGCUCGUGUCGUGAGAUGUUGGGUUAAGUCCCGCAACGAGCGCAACCCUUGUCGUUAAUUGCCAUCAUUUAGUUGGGCACUUUAACGAGACUGCCGGUGACAAACCGGAGGAAGGUGGGGAUGACGUCAAGUCCUCAUGGCCCUUAUGGGUAGGGCUUCACACGUCAUACAAUGGUCGGUACAAAGGGUUGCCAAGCCGCGAGGCGGAGCCAAUCCCAGAAAGCCGAUCGUAGUCCGGAUUGCAGGCUGCAACUCGCCUGCAUGAAGUCGGAAUCGCUAGUAAUCGUGGAUCAGCAUGUCACGGUGAAUACGUUCCCGGGUCUUGUACACACCGCCCGUCACACCAUGGGAGCGGGUUCCGCCAGAAGUAGGUAGCCUAACCGCAAGGGGGGCGCUUACCACGGCGGGGUUCGUGACUGGGGUGAAGUCGUAACAAGGUAGCCGUAGGGGAACCUGCGGCU
RNAcentral lists this ribosomal RNA (1286 nucleotides) under metagenome. RNAcentral describes it as "bacterial SSU rRNA". It matches the Rfam family "Bacterial small subunit ribosomal RNA", at positions 242 to 1519 of the family's 1533-position model. The record is from RNAcentral.